Non-coding RNA from Cricetulus griseus (Chinese hamster), 399 nucleotides. The record is from RefSeq and is a predicted model, not a curated record. NCBI's taxonomy places the organism in Eukaryota, Metazoa, Chordata, Mammalia, Rodentia, Cricetidae.
CUUUGCUUCUUGCUGUACAGACCACUACCACACCAGCUGGCUAGGUUGCUCUAGAAUGGUUUAAGUAUAAAUCCACUGGAUGCAAGAGCCUUGGCUGGGACGGUAACUGUGGAGGACAUAUGAGAAAGUUACUACUACUAUGCAAACUUUAUAAACUAAGAAAUGGAAGCAUAAGGAAAAAGAAGUAACUGUACCAUGUUUACAGUUUUCUGAAUGGUGCAGUAUACAAACAGCCUGUGGAAGCCACCAGAGUGGCUCAUCUGUUCUUAGUGAGGAUGGGUUCCACAUCUGGUCUGUGUCUCUACUGUUACUGUUACUGUGGUCAUACUGUUACCAUUAUCAAUAAUGCUCAUAGCUACCACCAAAGCCGGUUGCUCUGGUAAGUUCUUUGUAUUAAGU